CACUGGGAAGCUGACUCCUCCAGGGUCAUGAGAUCUGGGAACAGUGUAAUCAAACAACGCCCACCUUGUAAGAAAGGUUCUGUGUACUGAAAUUUCCAGUGUAGCAUCUGUUUAUCGGUUAUGGUGUAUCUGUAAUAAAGUGGAUUGAAGUGGGAAUUUCUCAGAGAAAAAUAGAUAACAUCUUAAAUUGUUGUGUUUGUAAGGAGUGCAGCUUAAACUCUGCCUAAGCUGCAGGUUGGCCAACCCUAGGCAAUAACUCAAUUUCCUCCUGCAACUAGAGUAAAGAAAGGCCGGUGUUGUUUAUUGCUGGUGGUUGGUUACCCUGGAUAGAGACGCGAGCUCCAUGAGUUGGCCAGAAUUCCUGGCAAAGACUGUUCGAUACAAUGUUGGCCAGUCACUGAUUUGAUCAUUUAGACAUGGAGCACACGUGUGUAAAGUCCACACCAGC
Phyllostomus discolor (pale spear-nosed bat) is the source of this 448-nucleotide long non-coding RNA. RefSeq lists it as uncharacterized. Lineage: Eukaryota; Metazoa; Chordata; Mammalia; Chiroptera; Phyllostomidae. The transcript has 3 exons. The record is from RefSeq and is a predicted model, not a curated record.